This is a long non-coding RNA of Columba livia (rock pigeon), 4622 nucleotides long. RefSeq lists it as uncharacterized. The record is from RefSeq and is a predicted model, not a curated record. NCBI's taxonomy places the organism in Eukaryota, Metazoa, Chordata, Aves, Columbiformes, Columbidae. The transcript is spliced from 2 exons.
GUGGACACACACGCGCCUAUGUUCUUCAUUCAUAGCUGAGGAUCUCACUCCUUGAGUUCACAUUUCCUCCCACACUAAUCCCUUGCUGAUGUCGACUGAAGACGGAGCCAAACAAGAAACAAAUAAAUAUCAAAAGCAACUGGUGGGAAAGCAACUUCACAGCUGUGCCUGCUCCUACAGCAGAAGACCACAGUGUACACACUAUGCCCAGCUCUACAUCACACCCUGGCAGCAACACAAAGGGGAUAUAAAGCCCACAUACGCCCUCUUGGGAUUUCCCCCGGCUGUUCUUGCUGAGGAGGUGAAUGCCUAAGGAGUCAGAAUUAGAAGGAGAAAACGGAUGUGGUGGAAAGCAAAAUGAUUGGAGCACAGGAACUGUCCCUACAGAUCAAGAUGACCCAACAUCAAUCAGCUAAAGAAGUCUCCAGGCUGCUUUAACUGCACUCCUGGUUAGUCUCGGGAUAUUGCUAUUGAUGGAAACAACAUGAAUUCCCUUAGCAAAUUACUCAUGGGACUUAAGGGUAUUCACAGGACUGACUAAGACACCAUUUCAAUCACAAAACAAAACCAACAAAAUAAGUACAGGACAUGACUUGAAAAAACCAAGUAAGGGUUUUUUUUCACAGAAGUUCCUCACAAUGUAGAAAAAUUUAGUGUCUUCAUCCUGAGGAAGGUGUUAAAAAAAACAAUGCUCCAAAUGUUGUGUCAGUGCUUCAUGAAACACCUGACAGGCAGAAGAAAAAUAUAAUUGACAACUUUAUUUAAUUAUAAGCAACACUAGAACAUGUCCAAGCAAUAUUUUGGUUGAUUUUCAAGCCUGUAGUUGCAAUUAUUGAACUAGGUUGGAAGAUGAUUGUUUAAUUGCAGUCCCACUGGGCCCAUCUCAGAAAUCAGAUGUGUAUCUCUUAGGCUUAUCCUUCAGAGUUAUGUUUUAAAUAAGUUUCAUGUUGACUAUGAGAUUUAAGUGUAUAACUGAUGCUGAGCAAGAGCUUACUUGUGAAAUAGGAGAAUUUUCAGUUUUCUGAAUAAAUCUUUUCAUAAUGAGAUGUGUUCUCAUCCACUUUCAAAAUAUUUUAGUGAAAGACAAUCAGAAUGUUUUAAUUGCAUAACAUUUUAAAUCUACAAUUUUAUUCAAGUUCAAUGUUAUUAAUAUUCACUUAUUAUAACAUCACUACAGGAAAUUUCUGUUUAAUGAUGAUCGUUCAAAGUGGAAAUAAAAUUUGUUCCCAUGUCCCUUUUGUUUAUGUUCUGUGUGUAGAGUUUCCUACAAUUUAAUAAAAUGGAGGUAGUUUGAUCUAGAAGGACAAAUGUUAAAACAUAAGUAGCAAUUCCCUAGUGAUUCUGAAAUAAAGUUAAAAUAAUAUAAUCUGUCAUUACAAUAAGAGACUGUAAUUAAGUAACGUAAAACAGAAUGAAAAAAAGUUCCAAGCUGAAACUAAAAAUGUCAAAAAAACCCUUAAGACUUUUCCCAAAUGUAAAUGAACCCAGAAAGUUUUUUUAGUUUUGAGUUUAAUUUACAGCUUUUCCCAGAGGACUUUCCAAUGAAACUGAAAUUAUUUGAAAAGAGUGUCUGUUUAAAGAAAAGCUGCUCUUCAGUGUAAAAGAUUUCAGCCCCAGUGCUGGUAGGAGUCACAAACAUCACGGCAAUGCCUGUGGCAUUAGAUGUACAGUAUAGCUCAGACAUCUGAAUGCCAUUCUGCCAUUCUUUGGACUGGGGAAAUCAUGCGGAGUUAUGAGAUUGACGUAAAAAAAUGCUGAAUCUCACUCUUAAAUUUGUUCCUGAUAAUCAGUAGAAUAUUUAACUCCAAAAGUAACCCCUUCACAAUUUUCUUAAGACCUGCAGUCUUUGCUGCUAUCAUCCAGCAGAAGAUUUGAGCUUAACAUUUGGUUUAUGUUAUAACCUGUUUCACAGCCCCUACCUGGAAACUAAUUUUAACACCACCAAACAAAAAAAAAAUCAGCAUUUAAAAUUGACAGUAACAGGGUAGCAAAACCUGCUUCCUUCAAAAGUAAAUGUGAGCUGUAAAACACCCUUUUUGUUCUUUCUAAAUGACAUCAGCAGAUUUACCUAAGGCAUGAGACUUAAAGCCAGACAAGAUGUAACGCAGGUAACAGGUGGUUAUCAGCCAGUGAGAUCCUCCACUUGGACAGACUAUUAAGAGAAGUUUUGGGCUCUUCUCCCUGUGGUCUGCACAACCAGGCUGGCUGACAUGGGAGAUUAAAGCCUUGUACACAAAGAUGUAUCUGAAGAUAAGUCAGUGAAAUGCUGAAGUGUUAUGUGGGAGAGUGGAGAAGAUGAUUGAUUAGUCCUUUGUCAUUGAUUAAUAUCAGCCAGAAGAUCAAAACUAUGGUGUUUGUUUACACCAAAGAGAGAAUCCAGAAGCACACGCUUAACUUCUUAGCUAAGCAUUUUGCUAAGCCAAUAGCAAAUUAUACAUCCAAUUAUAACCGGUGUGAUAUUUCUCCUAGGGACUAAUCUUCUGAAGUCUGCGGUUUAAAGGUUUUCCAAAGCAGAGAAUUUACCUCUGCAUUUCAUAGCUUUUGGGUGACUUCCUUCUUCUAUGAAAUUCUAGCUGAAUUUUCAACCAAGUCUUAAGUUCGCCAUCCAGAAUCCAGUUUGUCAUCCAGUUUUAUUAUCCAGAUUUUUCAUCCAGAAUGUCAUUACAAAGGCAUUCAACGAUUCACCUACAUUCUCUAUAUAAAAUGACAAAAAGAAUUUUUUCUUAAAUGGACAAGUCCAAAAUUUAAUCUUUUAGCUCCCCAGUCUUUUUGACAGCCCUUGUUAAAGGCUAUUGAAUAGACAACCUGACGCUAACAGCAACUCUAUUAUAUACAAUUCAAAUCUAAGAAUUUGAGCUGGUUUAUUUUUUUUUCCCAAAAAAUUGAAUUGAAAGUACUUUUAAACACAUCUACCAUUUCAAUUAUAAGCUGUUUUUACAGUGGAAGCUUAAUUCAGUAAAAAGGAGCAUGAAUCUUUGUAAUUCUAAGUAAUUUCUGAUUUGAGAAAAAAUCUGCUCAGGUCUCAAGUAGUGAGAGCAGAGUAAACCUUGAUUGAAGGGCACUAAGCUAAUCACAUUCUGCAAUUACUGAGAACAGUUAAAACAUCAUUUAUAAUGUAAUGAUUGCUCAAAUUAUCUUAUUGGAUCCAUUUGCCAAUCCCUAAUCAUUUUUUUAUUGCUGAUCAGAGGAAAUAGCUUUGCUAUUGGCAUCAGCUUGUCUAUGCAAUAGAUUUCAGUACAAAGCAGUUACAAACCUGUAUAAAUCUGUCAGCAUUUCUUUGCUGUGUUUCUUUUUUAUUAUUAUUUUUUUUAGAAAAAAAAGAAAGGCUUUUCAGUUUCAGCCUCUGCAAAAUUAUUGUUCAAAUCCUGAAGUCAAAUAAUUUUAAGGUGUGUGAUUUUUUAAAAUUUUUUUUGUUAAAGAUUGUCAAGUAAACAGAUUAAUGCUUAUGACAACUCAGAUCAUGAAGCUGAGAAAAUAUCUUUUUGUGAAAAACACACAGAUUAACCCAAUCUGACUGCUUACUGUGCUGUUAAAUCAGUUGUUCCUAUUCCCAUGGUAACAACAGGAGUUAUCUUGGGCAGCACUUCUCCCUGCAGAUAAGCUGGAAACAGGCUCGUGCAAUGUAGCAGGCUCAAGCUCCUUGUCUUUUAAAUUUUAUGUAUUUCCAGCAUUCACUGCUAAGACUGUAUCUUCUUUUCUAGCAGAUUCAACUGCCUUUCAUGUGAUGGUAGAUCACUGUGGAGAGAGGUUGGUGUGAAGAGAGUAUUUAGCUCUUCUAGUUCUACCUCAAGUUUUAUCUGCAAAGUUUUCUACCAUCACCAGCAGAUAAAUUCUGCCCCUCUCAUGGGUUUUGCUGCCCUGUCCCAUGCUGUGGCUUUUACCUUCCCCGUGAACUCUGACUCCUUCCCACUGGCCUGUCUGCUCUUCUACCCAAAGGAAAGAGAGUAUCCACAGAGGUCUUGCUCUUGAAUCCUCUCCCAGCUGUGCAGGAGCUUCUUUAAUUUCACCAACUAAUGUUAUACUUCAUAACUAAAUUAUGGCUAGUUGGUAUUAGUGUAAAAGCCAGAAACUAGCACUCAAAAAAUGCAGAUUCCCACUUCUUAGUCUUACUUAAAUACAUUUGAUCAGCUUUAUUAUAGUUGUUAUAAAAAAUAUGUAUGUGUGUGAACAGUUCAGCUAGAUAAUAGCCAAGAAUGAACUGUGUUGAACUAGGCAAUGUAGAUUUGGAAAAUCUUGUGUUUCAGCAGAGCUUCAGUUCCAGAAGCUGGUUAUCAGAGCGAAUUAACUCAGCAAGAGACACAAUUGUCAUGUCUGGUUACAAACAACAGCAGAAACAAAAGCAUGAACUGAAGAAAUCCUGGUUAGCUACACGUAUGUGAAAGUCUGUGUUCUCCAUAGACUGCAGCAAUGUAUUUUCACGUAGUGAAGUUUAUUUAGCUUUUGCCUAAACAGGGCAAAAUGCUAUAAGUAAUCUGUAUAUUCAUGGCGUAUGUAGGUCUCUUUCAUCAUUUGAUUUCACAUCCAUCUAUGAAAAGCAAGUGUCAUCAGCUGACUGACAGAAAGUAAAAAUUAAAAAAAAAAAAAAAGAAAAUAACAAAAAAUUAUUAUUAAUAAUAAUAAUA